CCUACGGGCGGCAGCAGUGGGGAAUAUUGGUCAAUGGGCGCGAGCCUGAACCAGCCAAGUAGCGUGAAGGAUGACUGCCCUACGGGUUGUAAACUUCUUUUAUAAAGGCAUAAAGUGAGGCACGUGUGCCUUUUUGUAUGUACUUUAUGAAUCAAGCUCGGCUAACUCCAGGCCAGCAGCCACGGUAAUCCGGAGGAUUCAAGCGUUAUCCGGAUUUAUUGGGUUUAAGGGGUGCGUAGGCGGGCUGUUAGGUCAGCGGUAAAAGCCCGGGGCUCAACCCCGGCGAGCCUUUGAAACUGGCUGUCUUGAGAUGUCGAGAGGUAAACGGAAUGCGCAGUGUAGCGGUGAAAUGCGUAGAGAUUGCGCAGAACUCCGAUUGCGAAGGCAGCAUACCGGCGGCGAUCUGACGCUGAGGCACGAAAGCGUGGGUAUCGAACAGGAUUAGAUACCCCAGUAGUC
RNAcentral lists this ribosomal RNA (459 nucleotides) under uncultured bacterium. RNAcentral's name for it is "partial 16S ribosomal RNA". It matches the Rfam family "Bacterial small subunit ribosomal RNA", at positions 338 to 795 of the family's 1533-position model. The record is from RNAcentral.